Molecule: ribosomal RNA, 433 nt
Filed under: uncultured bacterium
Lineage: Bacteria
Description: partial 16S ribosomal RNA
Rfam family: Bacterial small subunit ribosomal RNA
Source: RNAcentral
AACGAACGCUGGCGGCAUGCCUAACACAUGCAAGUCGAACGAGACCUUCGGGUCUAGUGGCGCACGGGUGCGUAACGCGUGGGAACCUGCCCUUAGGUUCGGAAUAACUCCCCGAAAGGGGUGCUAAUACCGGAUAAUGUCUUCGGACCAAAGAUUUAUCGCCUUUGGAUGGGCCCGCGUUGGAUUAGCUAGUUGGUAGGGUAAAAGCCUACCAAGGCGACGAUCCAUAGCUGGUCUGAGAGGAUGAUCAGCCACACUGGGACUGAGACACGGCCCAGACUCCUACGGGAGGCAGCAGUGGGGAAUGUUGGACGAUGGGCGAGAGCCUGAUCCAGCAAUGCCGCGUGAGUGAUGAAGGCCUUAGGGUUGUAAAGCUCUUUUACCCGGGAUGAUAAUGACAGUACCGGGAGAAUAAGCGCCGGCUAACUCCGUG